UACGGAGGGUCCAAGCGUUAUCCGGAUUUAUUGGGUUUAAAGGGUGCGUAGGCGGUUCAGCCAGUCAGGGGUGAAAUCCCGGGGCUCAACCCCGGAACUGCCCUUGAUACUGCUGGUCUGGAGUACGAGAGAGGCGAGUGGAAUUCCGAGUGUAGAGGUGAAAUUCGUAGAUAUUCGGAGGAACACCAGUGGCGAAGGCGGCUCGCUGGCUCGACACUGACGCUGAGGUGCGAAAGCAUGGGGAGCAAACAGGAUUAGAUACCCCGGUAGUCCCUGA
RNAcentral lists this ribosomal RNA (277 nucleotides) under uncultured prokaryote. RNAcentral describes it as "partial 16S ribosomal RNA". It matches the Rfam family "Bacterial small subunit ribosomal RNA", at positions 524 to 800 of the family's 1533-position model. The record is from RNAcentral.